Non-coding RNA from Pelobates cultripes (western spadefoot toad), 224 nucleotides. NCBI's taxonomy places the organism in Eukaryota, Metazoa, Chordata, Amphibia, Anura, Pelobatidae. The record is from the annotation of a GenBank genome assembly.
AUUAAAAAUACUUGCGGUUGUAGAAUGAGCUCGGUAGCGUUAGGGGAUCCCCGUGGGGAAGAGGGGAGCCGCCCUCCCAAGGCCCCGCUACCCGUAGUAGUCCAAUUGCUCACUGGGAUGAGGAGCGUGAGGAAUAUUUUGCAGCAAAAAUGCCAGCGGUCUUCUGAAGUCACUGUUCGUUCAUGGUGUGCGUUGGUUUGGGAGCGUGGAGAUCAGUACAUAUU